GAUGUAUACUCGCGGUUUGCGAUAGAGUGUAAGCCGCCAAGCGAAAGCAUUAAGUAUACCACCUGGGGAGUACGCCGGCAACGGUGAAACUCAAAGGAAUUGACGGGGGCCCGCACAAGCGGAGGAACAUGUGGUUUAAUCUUGAUGAUACCGCGAGGAACCUUAGCCCGGGCUUGAAACUAAGAGUGACGAAUCUAGAGAUAGAUUUUUCUUCGGACAGCUGUUGGAGGUGCUGCAUGGUUGUCGUCAGCUCGUGCCGUGAGGUGUCGGCUUAAGUGCCAUAACGAGCGCAACCCUUUUCCUUGGUUGCCAUCAGGUAAUGCUGGGCACUCUAGCGAGACUGCCGGUAAUAAACCGGAGGAAGGUGGGGAUGACGUCAAAUCAUCAUGCCCCUUAUGACCUGGGCUACACACGUGCUACAAUGGCUGGUACAACGAGUCGCAAGCCGGUGACGGCAAGCUAAUCUCUUAAAGCCAGUCUCAGUUCGGAUUGGAGUCUGCAACCCGACUCCAUGAAGCUGGAUUCGCUAGUAAUCGCGCAUCAGCCAUGGCGCGGUGAUAUACGUUCCCGGGCCUUGUACACACCGCCCGUCACACCACGAGAGUUUGUAACACCCGAAGUCGGUGAGGUAACCGUAAGGAGCCAGCCGCCUAAGGUGGGAUAGCACUGAUUGGGGUGAAGUCGUAACAAGGUAGCCGUAUCGGAGAGGUGCGGCUGGAACACCUCUCUUC
RNAcentral lists this ribosomal RNA (731 nucleotides) under uncultured Streptococcus sp. RNAcentral describes it as "bacterial SSU rRNA". It matches the Rfam family "Bacterial small subunit ribosomal RNA", at positions 808 to 1533 of the family's 1533-position model. Lineage: Bacteria; Bacillati; Bacillota; Bacilli; Lactobacillales; Streptococcaceae. The record is from RNAcentral.